This 498-nucleotide ribosomal RNA is filed under the name Pseudomonas sp. Hu55C. RNAcentral's name for it is "bacterial SSU rRNA". It matches the Rfam family "Bacterial small subunit ribosomal RNA", at positions 37 to 528 of the family's 1533-position model. The record is from RNAcentral. Lineage: Bacteria; Pseudomonadati; Pseudomonadota; Gammaproteobacteria; Pseudomonadales; Pseudomonadaceae.
GGCUUUGCGGCAGGACUACCAUGCAGUCGAGCGGAUGAAGGGAGCUUGCUCCUGGAUUCAGCGGCGGACGGGUGAGUAAUGCCUAGGAAUCUGCCUGGUAGUGGGGGAUAACGUCCGGAAACGGGCGCUAAUACCGCAUACGUCCUGAGGGAGAAAGUGGGGGAUCUUCGGACCUCACGCUAUCAGAUGAGCCUAGGUCGGAUUAGCUAGUUGGUGGGGUAAAGGCCUACCAAGGCGACGAUCCGUAACUGGUCUGAGAGGAUGAUCAGUCACACUGGAACUGAGACACGGUCCAGACUCCUACGGGAGGCAGCAGUGGGGAAUAUUGGACAAUGGGCGAAAGCCUGAUCCAGCCAUGCCGCGUGUGUGAAGAAGGUCUUCGGAUUGUAAAGCACUUUAAGUUGGGAGGAAGGGCAGUAAGUUAAUACCUUGCUGUUUUGACGUUACCAACAGAAUAAGCACCGGCUAACUUCGUGCCAGCACGGGCCGGUAAUACUA